ACGGAAGGCAGCAGUGGGGAAUAUUGCACAAUGGGGGAAACCCUGAUGCAGCAACGCCGCGUGAGUGAUGAAGUAUUUCGGUAUGUAAAGCUCUAUCAGCAGGGAAGAUAAUGACGGUACCUGACUAAGAAGCUCCGGCUAAAUACGUGCCAGCAGCCGCGGUAAUACGUAUGGAGCAAGCGUUAUCCGGAUUUACUGGGUGUGAAGGGUGCGUAGGCGGUAUGGCAAGUCAGAUGUGAAAGACCGGGGCUCAACUCCGGGGCUGCAUUUGAAACUGCCAGACUGGAGUACAGGAGAGGCAGGCGGAAUUCCUAGUGUAGCGGUGAAAUGCGUAGAUAUUAGGAGGAACACCAGUGGCGAAGGCGGCCUGCUGGACUGUUACUGACGCUGAGGCACGAAAGCGUGGGGAGCAAACAGGAUUAGAUACCCUGGUA
Molecule: ribosomal RNA, 434 nt
Filed under: uncultured bacterium
Lineage: Bacteria
Description: partial 16S ribosomal RNA
Rfam family: Bacterial small subunit ribosomal RNA
Source: RNAcentral